RNAcentral lists this long non-coding RNA (274 nucleotides) under Setaria viridis. Its description in RNAcentral is "long non-coding RNA (SVIR_LNC001476)". Lineage: Eukaryota; Viridiplantae; Streptophyta; Magnoliopsida; Poales; Poaceae. The record is from RNAcentral.
GCUAGGCGACGGGAAACUGCUGGAAAUGGUUGCAGUAAUCUGUGAGCAAGCUUGCCGACUUGCCGAGCGUCUGCCUGCCAUCGGCCAGCUGUGCUGAGUCCUUCCAACCACAACAGAUUCAACCACGCAUGGUUUGAUUAUUCGUGGUUAUCGUGGAUAGUACACCUCAUCCCACAGUGCAUGUCCAAGCCAUCGGAGAUGUACUGGUACAUACGGAAGCUAGCAUGCCUUUCGCAGGGUCAACUUUUGAAGCAGUAAGAUACUUGGACUUCGG